RNAcentral lists this ribosomal RNA (407 nucleotides) under uncultured bacterium. RNAcentral's name for it is "partial 16S ribosomal RNA". It matches the Rfam family "Bacterial small subunit ribosomal RNA", at positions 28 to 526 of the family's 1533-position model. The record is from RNAcentral.
GACGAACGCUGGCGGCGUGCCUAAUACAUGCAAGUAGAACGCAGUUGCGAACGGGUGAAUAACGCGUAGGUAACUGCCUCAUAGCGGGGGAUAACUAUUGGAAACGAUAGCUAAUACCGCAUACUGUGCGAUGGACCUGCGUUGCAUUUGCUAGUUGGUGGGGUAAAGGCUCACCAAGGCGACGAUACAUAGCCGACUUGAGAGGGGGAGCGGCCACCAGGGGAAGUGGACACGGCCCAGACUCCUACGGGAGGCAGCAGUAGGGGAGCUUCGGCAAUGGGCGGAAGUCUGACCGAGCAACGCCGCGUGAGUGAAGAAGGUUUUCGGAUCUGAAAGCUCUGUUGUGAGAGAAGCGUUAACUAACCAGAAAGGGACGGCUAACUACGUGCCAGCAGCCGCGGUAAUAC